Molecule: long non-coding RNA, 553 nt
Filed under: Panax ginseng (ginseng)
Lineage: Eukaryota; Viridiplantae; Streptophyta; Magnoliopsida; Apiales; Araliaceae
Description: long non-coding RNA (PGIN_LNC017736)
Source: RNAcentral
AAUAAUAUACCUCCUGGCAGUGUAUAUAUAGGCUGAUAUCCUCGGUAACCCCAGCACUCUAUACCGGCCGCUAGUACUAGUGGGAGUAUCCUGAGACGCGACCCAAAGAGCCGUCUCCUCGUCCUGAAUACAUGACAGCACUGCUUGACGCAUGCUCAUUUUCAGCCCAGUCAAUAUUUGUAGGGUCAUACGCAUCUAUCAACAUCUCUACAACUUCAUAGUUAUCUGACUGGUUGACUGAUUUUAUUCCGUCAGAAGUAAUUCCGUCGAGAAUAACCUAUUUUCUUGUAGUGUGUGUUCUUUUUUCUGAGCCAGCAAAGUAGUACGCAACCUAUUGAAAGAUGGAGCAACAUAACCAGCCAACCUGCAAUUUUCAAACAUUAACCGAAUUAGUGAGUGAGUAACUGAUUAUAGUAAAAAAAUAAGGAGACUUUGCUAGUGUUUAAUGAAAUAACACUAUUAAACCUGCUAUUUGCAAGGGUGAGUGAGUACUUCCGAAAAUAAGGAGACCUUACAAAAUUAAACGACAAACCACUGUCAUGGAAUAUCCUAG